UAGGUGAGGCAAAGAGCCCAGCAGGUUC
This 28-nucleotide non-coding RNA is filed under the name Homo sapiens (human). The record is from RNAcentral. Lineage: Eukaryota; Metazoa; Chordata; Mammalia; Primates; Hominidae.